This is a long non-coding RNA of Xyrauchen texanus (razorback sucker), 1736 nucleotides long. RefSeq lists it as uncharacterized. NCBI's taxonomy places the organism in Eukaryota, Metazoa, Chordata, Actinopteri, Cypriniformes, Catostomidae. The record is from RefSeq and is a predicted model, not a curated record. The transcript has 3 exons.
AUUUAUAAACUGCAUAAAACCAUUCUGCUCUUAACCUUAAAGAAAUCAUCACCAUGAUCUUACUGGAGGGGAGUGAAGAGGACGACAACGAUGACGAUGAUGGAGGUGCUGGAGUAGGCGUCUGCUGCCAAAGAUCCAGAUCUACAUGGAGGGUGAAGAUGAAGACAAGAAUGACUUUGGUCCACAUAUAAAUGGAUGUCUGCCACCUCGGGUGGACCACUAGUCUACAUCAUUGAUUGAUGAGAAGAGUGCAAAGCUGCUGGAUAAUAUUCAUGAACUUUCUUUUCCUUUAUGGAAAUGAAGAGUUUAUAAAAACACUGUUUCUGUGUUUAAGCUUCACACACUGAGGAUUAUCCACAGAGAUACUUGAACUACUUCUGCUGUUUACUGCAGCAGGAUUGUUGCAGUCUGCUUUGAAGUCUGUCUGAUCAGAAGAAACCAAGAAGGAGCAUACGGAGAUCCGGUGCAGCCUCGUGGUUCAAUAUCUUGGACACCAGCUGUAUGACUGGAUGCACGUUAGUCAUUUUAGGAGUGGAUUUACCCUUACCUAUGUAGUUUUUGUUGUGAAACUAUAGCAUCAUGGUAAAUGGUCUGUACUUAUAUAGCGCCUUUUUAACCUUAAUGGUAUUCAAAGCGCUUUACACUGUGACUCAUUCACCCAUACACAAAUGAUGGCAGAGCUGCAUGCAAGAUGCUAGCCUGCCAUUGGGAGCAACUUGGGGUUCAGUGUCUUGCCCAAGGACACUUCGGCAUGUGGAGUCGUGUGGGCCAGGAUUCAAACCACCAACCCUGCGAUUAGUGGCCGACCCGCUCUACCAACUGAGCCACAGCUGCCCCGGCGUGUUUGUCCAAGCUCUGGUCUAAAAAAAUGUUUAUUAUGAUUUAUUUACAAUCAUAAGAUUGUAAAUAGCAGAGUCAUUACAAUGCUAUAGAUAUCCAUUCAUUUCUAAUAGAAUGUGGUGGCCCAUUCUCAGGAAGCGAUUCCAUUUGUGCCCGAAAAUGUCAGGGAACAAUUCGUUUUUGGAAAAAUCCAUGUUUGGUUUUCCCCAUAACAGAGAUAAUUUUUUUAAGGAUAUGAAAGAAAUGAAAUUCAGAUACUGUAAGAUAAAGUAACUUCUGUUUGAACCAUGUGAUCAACAAGACAUUGAUUAUUUCACUUCCUCAAAUAAGAUGCCAAAUUCAGUAUUUUUAGAAGAAGUGAAUUUAUAUUUGAAUUUCAAUAAAAAGACAUGUUUUUAUAAAAUGUUGCAUUAGUAAAUAGGAUAAACGAAUUGGUAUUCAGAUAAAACUAACAUAAAAAAAAAGAGAUGUUUAAUUUGGACAUUUCUUCAUUCAAAUUCAAACAUUCAAAGCUUUCAAUUAAUGUGAAUAAAUGAAUGAUAACUGAAUAAAAUAAUAUUGUCAGUAAUAAAUCAUAUGCAGUAUGUCAAAGGACUCUGUUUCCUGAGAAUGGGCCUGGUAUCUUUUCAGCAUUAUUUUGGUAUAAAUUCAUUUACUGAAUUUUGUAUCGAUAAAUGUCAUGAAUUUUUGUGUUGAUUCAUUUAAUGAAUUGUAUAGAAAUAUUGUUACUGAAUGACAUUUAAUUGUCAUUCAUUAACUGAAUUUAAUUGUCUAGCGGAAAAUGAGGUUAGUGUGGGAAGGGUGUUGUUAGUUAAUGUUGUUGUAGAUAUAAUUAAUAUCUCUACAAUCUUCUAACAGGCCACACAGGUAACACCCCUGCUUAAAAAUAAAAUCAA